This 1857-nucleotide non-coding RNA is filed under the name Pan troglodytes (chimpanzee). The record is from RNAcentral. Lineage: Eukaryota; Metazoa; Chordata; Mammalia; Primates; Hominidae.
AUUCAAGCCACAGUGUCUUCUAUCUCCAAGCUGGUGAGACACACUGCAGUCCUCUACAGAACAGAAGAGAGACAGUGCACAGGAUUGCUCUUGGGAGCUUGAUGAUGAUUGACAAGGUGUACUCUGGUCCUUGCCUGCCUCUGCAGGCUUCUCUCUUCUCGAACGCACUCUAGUCUAAGCUCCAGACACAAAUUGUCGUUGCCCUGAGUGGACCAUGCUCCCUCUCACCUCCCCACAUUUGCAGAAGCUUUCUUCAAAUCCCCAGAGCUGCCUUUUCUGUGACUAGUCCCCAUUUGUCCUUUAUUCACAGUUUAACCUCUCAAAAACCUGCCUGGAAACCCACCCCCAGAAGGGCUAAUGGCCCCUCACUAGGUCUUCCUAUACCAUCAUCCGCUUCCCCAGUUAAAAUUGUACUUAGCGUAUUUGUGAAAUGAAUAACUGGAUGACUUUCUCCAUGCUGGGCAUUGUGCUAAAUGUUUCAAAUACAUAAUGCAUUCAAAUGUAGAAGAGCCCCGUGUUUGGUCCUAUUAUUAUCCCCAUUUUACAGACAAUGAAAUUGAGGUUUCAAGAGGGUAAGUCAUUCCCAUGCUGUCCAGUUAAUCUAUUUUGAAUGGAUGUGGAUAUUCAGGAGAAUCUGAUGAGAUGGGCUGAUCUGAUUCUCUCUCGGAUGCCCUAUGAUUUGACACUACUUGGGGGCUCAGGGGCCUGAUGGAGCUGUGAUCACAACCUGGCUCUUCACUAAUUAGCUGGUGUCAAUGACCAGCACACUUUAGCCCUGAGUCCGUUUCCUCUUUGGCAAAUUGGCAAAAUAAUGACUAUCUUCCCAACUGUUGUUAUGAGGACAAAAAAAUGAGAAGCUGUUGAGAAAGCACGUAGCACCACAUCCAGCAUUUAAAAAACAAAUUUUUUAAAGUAAAAGAUGAGGAGUUUCCCUUUCCUUAAAGGAAGUAAUCUGUCUCUGCUACCUUGUGCCACAGUUAAACUGCACAGGCUCAAUAACUUAUGUUUUGGUUAAACGUUUUUAAUUUUUUUAGAGUGAAAUCCGAGUUUUUGUUGGCAAGUGAUUGAACACGCUGGGCCCAGCCUCCAGGCCCACAGUCCAUUAGGAAAUUUACGAGGCGAGAUGGGGACCUUCAGCUCAAGUACUCCCUUCAGACGCAGUACUUACAAAGCCAUCAAUUUCCUUAACAAAGAGCAUUGGCUUAAAUGCCCCUUAAAGCAGUGUUAUUUACACAGCUAUCCACUUCCUUUUGAAUUCUCUGCCUGGGGGGUGGCAGACCUGCAGUUCUUUCCAGCUACGAGUUAAUUAGGCUCUCUCCCCAAAUGGAAGCAAGCCGCAGACUGAGAUUUGGUAUUAAAAAGCAGCUCAAUUUGGGGCCAUCCGAGAGUCUUAUGGGGUGAUCCAAAUACCACCAAAAUCACUGGUUCCACCCACCCAUUCUUCUAAAAUUCUAAAGCCUUUGGACCUUACCAAAGAGUAAUGACCUCUGUCAGUAUAGAGAUAGAGAAGGAAAGGCAGCAUUUGAGCCCGUCUCUACUUAGUAAAAGAAGCCUCAAAAAAGUACUGCUGGCUAAGAUAGCAUACUUUCUACCGCCCAGUGUAUCGAAAUAGUAACAUUAACAUUUUAAAGAAGCCCCCACCCCUUUUGUGGGGGAACUAGGAUUUGGAUACAAGCAGCCCAGUUCUGGGGUCUGAGCAUGAAACCACCACCCCAAGCCACCUGACCCAAGAUAACCUGCCCGAGAUGACAGCUAAGUGGGAAAGUCUCCUAUUCAAACAGGAUUGUCUGACUCUAAAGACCAGCAAAGCUCAACUACACUUUCUUGCCUGAAAAAUAAAACUGUCUCUUAAGAAAU